RNAcentral lists this ribosomal RNA (301 nucleotides) under uncultured bacterium. RNAcentral describes it as "partial 16S ribosomal RNA". It matches the Rfam family "Bacterial small subunit ribosomal RNA", at positions 509 to 807 of the family's 1533-position model. The record is from RNAcentral.
CAGUCGCCGCGGUAAUACGAAGGGGGCUAGCGUUGUUCGGAAUUACUGGGCGUAAAGGGCGCGUAGGCGGCCAUUCAAGUUAGGUGUGAAAGCCCUGGGCUCAACCUAGGAAUUGCAUUUGAUACUGUUUGGCUUGAGUUCGGGAGAGGUGAGUGGAAUUCCCAGUGUAGAGGUGAAAUUCGUAGAUAUUGGGAAGAACACCAGUGGCGAAGGCGGCUCACUGGACCGACACUGACGCUGAGGCGCGAAAGCGUGGAGAGCAAACAGGAUUAGAUACCCCCGUAGUCCCUGUCUCUUAUAC